AAUCUUGCGCAAUGGAGGGAACUCUGACGCAGCGACGCCGCGUGAACGAUGAAGGUCUUCGGAUCGUAAAGUUCUGUCCUCAGGGAAGAAGGUCACUUAACGUGACUUGACGGUACCUGACGAGAAAGCCACGGCUAACUACGUGCCAGCAGCCGCGGUAAUACGUAGGUGGCAAGCGUUGUCCGGAUUUAUUGGGCGUAAAGCGCGCGCAGGCGGUCUUUUAAGUCUGAUGUGAAAUCUUACAGCUUAACUGUAAGCGGUCAUUGGAAACUGGGAGACUUGAGUGCAGAAGAGGAGAGUGGAAUUCCAUGUGUAGCGGUGAAAUGCGUAGAGAUAUGGAGGAACACCAGUGGCGAAGGCGACUCUCUGGUCUGUAACUGACGCUGAGGCGCGAAAGCGUGGGGAUCAAACA
This 412-nucleotide ribosomal RNA is filed under the name uncultured bacterium. RNAcentral describes it as "partial 16S ribosomal RNA". It matches the Rfam family "Bacterial small subunit ribosomal RNA", at positions 360 to 774 of the family's 1533-position model. The record is from RNAcentral.